Molecule: long non-coding RNA, 3727 nt
Filed under: Homo sapiens (human)
Lineage: Eukaryota; Metazoa; Chordata; Mammalia; Primates; Hominidae
Description: non-protein coding FAM238C:11
Source: RNAcentral
UGUACUUUCUGUGUAAAUUUUCUAAACUUUCUUCUGUUAAUCUUGUUAAUUUGAUUGAACAUGUGUGUCAUUUUCAAAAAUGUAAAUCGAAUAUAUGUGGAUGGGAUAUAUAUGUGUACAUAUGAAAUAUAACUUCAUAUUACAGAGUAGGCUUAGCUCAUGGCAAUGUUGUUUUGUGAAAGCACCUGCAGAAAUCUCUCUCAUUUCUAGUUUGUUAAUGUUUCAGAGAUUGCGUGAGGCAGAUUUGGUUUCAGUCAUUUUAGCAUCAUUCAUUGUAAGGUGAUGAUCCCUAGGAACUGCUUCACAAUGAGAAACCUGAAAGGUCCCAGCAGUGAGCAAUGAAUGAAAGGUGGGGCGGGGCUGCUGGCAGGGUGGGGCCUUGUCAGCCAUAUGCCUGUGCUCUCAAGUGCCAAGUUUGUGGGGAUGCAUGCAGGGGAUUCUGGACCUGAUUGUUUCCUCUGAACCAGGAUGUGGUCUGGUUGGCAGGGCAACUGGUCUUCACUUGGUGGCCUUCAGUGGGUGUCCUCAUUGGUUGCCUUCAGAUAGUGCCCUCAGUUGGUACCAUCAGUUGGCGCUCUUCAGGUGGUGGUCCUCAGUUGGUGGUCUUCAGUUGUAGGGCAAUGGUGGAAGGAGGAUGAAACUGUGCUUUCUCCUCCCCCAGUCACAGCUCUCAGGCUUGCUGCCUCCGGGCCCUUCUAAAAUAAACCAGACAGGUUGGCAGGUUUUUCUUAACAGACAAGUCAGCUCAGGGUACAGGGGUGACACAGGGUGCAGGCUGCUAGUGCAGUGCCACCCCAUGGCCCAGGGGUGCCCGUGCCAGCCAUGCCUUUGCCAGGAAGAGGCGAUAGGUGUUGAGCUCUGCAGACUUGGGGACAAGCGAACACCCAAGCUGCCUGAGAAGUGCAGGGGUGCCCCAUGGGGACCACACUGAACUGUCGCAUGUGCACCAAAGCCAGCCCCAGUCAGGGCCGGCACAAGGUUUCUGCAGAGCCAGCCUGUGGCUCUGACGUCUACAAGUGUGCAUACAACGAAGGCGCAGGCUGCGAUAUACAGGAGCAGAGGCACCCAGAACACGCUGCCCCUGCUGCCAGUUGCAAGUGGGGUCUGCUCAGAAUGCGGAGGGUGAAGCUGUCCUGCAGCUUUGAGAUCCACGAGGUGGUGGUGGCCCUAGCGCCAGACUCCACUGCUAUGGAACCUGCCCAGUUGAAUUUGGGAGCCAGUGAGGGACCUGACAGCAGCACCAGGAGACGCCCAAAGGUAGGGAGGUGACAGAUACUGCUGAAGUUUAGGAACUCCUCUAGCCAUUGCUGGCCCAAGAAUCCUGCAGAGGCAUCCAGAGUCUCAGUUUUCUCAUCUGUAAACGAUGUGCUUGUUAUGAGGCUUCGGUAAGGUAAGUGUGUAAAAACCAUGGCAAAAUGCUUGUAACUUAAAAGAGAGGAUUUCUAUGAGGCUUCUAUAAAGUAAGUGUAUAAAAAUCUGGACACAAUACCUAUGAUUUUUUCAGUGUUCAGUAUAUGGAGAAGGAGAUUAUAUUCUCUCAUCUAAUUUUCAGAGCCAGUUUAUAAAAAUGGUGAUACUCAUAUUUCUUAGACGAUGAAAUCAAUGAUCAGAAAGAAUAAAUAGAUCAUCAAAGUCACACAGCAGUUCACAAUGCGUUCCUUGUGUAAUUUCUAGUUAAAAGUAGCAAUGAUGAUCACAUUGAAAAUUUUGUAUUAUGUGGUAGUUUUCACUUACAUAAUCCUUUUGGUGUUUUGAAACCAUAUAUUCUAAGUUGCUCUACCAAAGCGAUCAUUAGAAAAAUGUGAUGUAGUUAGUGUGUAAAUUUUAGAAAAUUUCUUCCGUUAGUCUUGUUAAUUUGAUUGCAAAUAUGUGUUAUUUUCAAAAACGUAAAUGGAAUAUAUAUUGAUUGGACUUGUAUGUGUAUAUAUGAAAUAUGACUGGACAUUAUAGAGUAGGCUUAGUUCAUGGCAAUGUUUUUUUCUGAAAGCACCUGAAGAAAUCACUCUUAUUUCCAGUUUGUUAGUGUUUCAGAGAUUAUGGGGGAAAGGGGGUUCUAUGAAUGUCAGACACUGCGUGAGGCACAUUUGGUUUCAGUAAUUUUAGCAUCAUUCAUUGUAAAGUGAUGAUCCCUCGGAACUUCUUCACAAUGAGAAACCUGAAAGGUCCCAGCAGCCAGCAAUGAAUGAAAGGUGGGGUGGGGCCGCUGGCAGGGCGAGGCCUUGUGAGCCAUGUGCCUGUGCUCUCAAGUCCGAAGUUUGUGGGGAUGUAUGCAGGAGAUUCUGGCCCUGAUUGUUUCCCCAGAACCAGGAUGCGUUCUGGUUGGCAGGACAACUGGCCUUCACUUGGUGGCCUUCAGUGGGUGUUCUCAUUGGUUGCCUUCGUUUAGUGCCCUCAGUUGUUUCUCUUCAGUUGGCGGUCCUCAGUUGGUGGUCUUCGGUUGUUGGGCAGUGGUGGGAGGAGGAUGAAUCCAUUUGUGCUCUCUCCUCCCCCAGCCACAGCUCUCAGGCUUGUUGCAUCCAGGCCCUUCUAAAAUAAACCAGACAGGUUGGCAGGUUUUUUUUUAGCAGACAAGUCAGCUCAGAGUACGGGGGUGACACGGGGUGCAGGCUGCUAGCGCAGUGCCACCCCAUGGCCCAGGGCUGCCCGUGCCAGCCAUGCUUUUGCCAGGAAGAGGCGAUAGGUGUUGAGCCCUGCAGACUUGGGUGCAAGCGAAGACCCAAGCUGCCUGAGAAGAGUAGGGGUGCCCCAUGGGGCCCACACUGAACUAUUGCAUAUGCACCAAAGCCAGCCCCAAUUGGCACAAGGGUUCACAGAGCCAGCCUGUGGCUCUGACGUCUACCAGCAUGCAGACUGUGAAGAUGCAGGCCGCGAUAUACGGGAGCAGAGGUGCCCAGAACAUGCUGUCCCCCAAUGCCAGCCACAAGUGGGGCUAUCUGAGGGUGUGAUGGGUGAAGCUGUCCUGCAGCUCUGAGAUCCACGAGGCAGAGGCAGCAGUAGCGCUGGACUCCACUGCUUUGGAGGCUGCCCAGUCGAAUUUGGGAGCCAGCAAGAGUCCUGACAGCAGCACAUUGGCCACCAGAAGACACCCAAAGGGAGAGGAGCGGAAGACCUUCUGGUGUGGGCUGGGCAGCAAUUCACUUGAAGGAGAAACAGCCCCGGUGUGGAGAGGCGGCCAUCCUUGGCGGGAUCCUUUCUAAGGAGCCGAGAAAUCAACGUAGAGCUUCCUCUGUCUGAUUCUCUAACAACUGCAGACCUUCCAUGAGUCAAGCUUUGUGUCAAAAGGACAAAUAAAAAGGACCUAUAAAAGGCAUCACCAAGCCCAAUGGACAGAUGCCCCAGGCUGCACAUUCUGUCAGUGCUGUUCUGGAAAAGGCCCAAACACAUGCUGAAACAUCGAAGGAUAAGAAGCCAGCCCUCGGGAACCGGCAGGAGCACUCUGGGCCCCGCACGGCCCCAAGUCCAGCCUGCCCCGCCUCCUCUGGUGCAGAGGUCCAGGGAUACCAGCAGCAGCCCCGCCACGCCCCUCCAAGGCCAAGAACACAGGCGGCAGGGGCUUCCCCUCCCUGCCAGACUACUUCCUGCCGCCACAGCCACCACCCUUGGACGACCCAGAGCUCCCGCCGCCCCUGGACUUCGUGCUCCCUCCCCCCGCGGUCGCCAAGAGGCCUCCUAAUGCCCCACCCCCGCAAGAGACACGAAGCAUCAAUGUUCAGAAGCAGCAAAUAAA